This 462-nucleotide ribosomal RNA is filed under the name uncultured bacterium. Its description in RNAcentral is "partial 16S ribosomal RNA". It matches the Rfam family "Bacterial small subunit ribosomal RNA", at positions 28 to 507 of the family's 1533-position model. The record is from RNAcentral.
GACGAACGCUGGCGGCGUGCUUAACACAUGCAAGUCGAACGGUAAGGCCUUUCGGGGUACACGAGUGGCGAACGGGUGAGUAACACGUGGGUGAUCUGCCCUGCACUUCGGGAUAAGCCCGGGAAACUGGGUCUAAUACCGGAUAGGACUGCGCGGUGCAUGCCGUGUGGUGGAAAGAUUUAUCGGUGCAGGAUGGGCCCGCGGCCUAUCAGCUUGUUGGUGGGGUAAUGGCCUACCAAGGCGACGACGGGUAGCCGGCCUGAGAGGGCGACCGGCCACACUGGGACUGAGACACGGCCCAGACUCCUACGGGAGGCAGCAGUGGGGAAUAUUGCACAAUGGGCGCAAGCCUGAUGCAGCGAUGCCGCGUGAGGGAUGACGGCCUUCGGGUUGUAAACCUCUUUCAGCAGGGACGAAGCGUGAGUGACGGUACCUGCAGAAGAAGCACCGGCCAACUACGUG